GGAAAGGACUAGAAAACAGGUGCAAGAAACCGGUAGGAGCAGGGGAACAAACACUGGUAGGUUUCACAAACAAAACGAACUGGCAACAGACAAACAGAGAACACAGGUAUACAUACAUAGGGGAUAAUGGGGAAGAUGGGCGACACCUGGAGGGGGUGGAGACAAGCACAAAGACAGCCUUGUCAUUUUAGGGGCAGCUUGAAACAGAAGUCAUCCUCCCAGGAAGUAGUUGAUCAUGGUGCUGAUGACGGGCAUCACCUCUUCUUCGUCACCCGCUAGAAGGAUCGUCUGCUUGGGCUUCGAGAUCUGCUCUCCAAACCUGUGGCUGGCUACUUUCUUUACCAACUCAACUGAUGGAGCCCUAGAGUGCUUCAGUUCACUCUUUUACAACUUCAGCCAAUCGUUUGGUCUUUGGGACAAUGACCCAACACACCUCCAUGCUGUGUAAGGGUUAUUUUAUCAAGAAGGAGAGUGAUGGAGUGCUGCAUCAGAUGACCUGGGAUGAGUUGGACCGCAGAGUGAAGGAAAAGGAGACAACAAGUGCUCAGCAUAUGUUGGAACUCCUUCAAGACUUUUGGAAAAGCAUUCCAGGUGAAUCUGGUUGUGAGAAAGCCAAGAUUGUACAAAGCUGUCAUCAAUGCAAAGGUUGGCUACUUUGAAGAAUCUAAAAUCAAAAAAUUAACACUUUUUUGUUUACUACAUUUACUACAUAUAAAAAUGUUAUUUUAUAGUUUCGAUGUCUUCACUAUUAUUCGACAAUGUAGAAAAUAGUUUUAAAAAAAGAAGAAAAACCCUGGAAUGAGUAGGUGUGUCCAAACUUUUGACUGGUACUAUAGAUACAUAGAAAGAGAGAGAGAAAAAUAGAGUGAGUGUCGUGUCAACCAUUAACCUGCAGUGUCGUGUCAACCAUUCAGCAUUCAAAGGAAUGCUCCAGACACAUUAAAAGCAG
Molecule: long non-coding RNA, 949 nt
Organism: Oncorhynchus tshawytscha (Chinook salmon)
Lineage: Eukaryota; Metazoa; Chordata; Actinopteri; Salmoniformes; Salmonidae
Source: Ensembl